Molecule: small nucleolar RNA, 87 nt
Organism: Sarcophilus harrisii (Tasmanian devil)
Lineage: Eukaryota; Metazoa; Chordata; Mammalia; Dasyuromorphia; Dasyuridae
Source: Ensembl
GGGGCGCCCUGAUGACACCUUGGUUACUGCUGCAAACACCGAGUCUGCGAUGGUGGGGAUGCAAACCUUGGAGAACUGAGCGCCUCC